GCAUGUUGAUUACCAAAGUAAAUAGAGAAACUGCCUCAGCUGAACAAUUAAGAGGGUACAGAGUUCCGGGAAGGGCAGAAGUAUAGGCAAAGCCCAAAGUGGGAUGUUACAAAAUGUAACUGGAUGUGGAUUUACCAGGGAAAAAAAAAACAUACCUGAGAGCUCAAUGUGGAAGUUUGGAUGUUUUCCUGAGAAGAAUGGUUCCUCAUUUGGGAGGCAUGGUGAGAAGUAUGAACAAUCAUGGAAACAUCCUGACCAGGCCAACCUAGGAAUGGCUGCAGGAAAGAAGAAAUCAACACAUCCCCUCCGGAGUCUGGCCGGAACCAGGAAAUAUUUGCAACACUUAACAUUUUUUUUGCUUUACAUCCUCACCUUCCCCUCUUGGCUCUAUAAAAGAAACUAGCACCCAAAUCUGGGCAAGAUGGGUCUUUGGGACACCAGGCCACCAACCUCUUGGUCUGCUGGCUUUCCGAAUAAGGUCACUAUUCCUUGUCCCAACACCUUGUCUCUUGAUUUAUUGGCCUGCUGUGCAGUGAGCAGUAAUGAUGAGCUUGGACUGCAUAACACUAACGCAAGCCCUGGAAGCAAGGAGAGGCUGAGGAAUAAAUUGCAAGCAGCCCUGAUCUUU
Eubalaena glacialis (North Atlantic right whale) is the source of this 628-nucleotide long non-coding RNA. RefSeq lists it as uncharacterized. The transcript is spliced from 3 exons. The record is from RefSeq and is a predicted model, not a curated record. Lineage: Eukaryota; Metazoa; Chordata; Mammalia; Artiodactyla; Balaenidae.